GGGGGGGGGGGGGGGGGGGGGGGGGGGGGGGGGGGGGGGGGGGGGGGGGGCGUCGCUUUGGGGGGGUGGGGGUGGGUGGCGAACGGGUGGGGAACACGUGCGUAGCCUGCCGCCCUCUUCUGGCAAACCGCAUGAGAGUGUGGCUAGUCCGGGCUAUUCUGAGUCUGUCGCAUGAUGGGUCUGGGAACGAUAUUGUUCCGGUCGUGGAUGGGCUCGCGGCCCAUCAGCUUGUUUGUGGGGUGAUGGCCUACCAAGGCGGUGACGGGUCGCCGGCCUGCGAGGGUGGCCGGUCACACUGGGACUGAGACACGGCCCAGACUCCUACGGGAGGCAGCCGUGGGGAAUAUUGCACAAUGGGCGCAAGCCUGAUGCAGCGACGCCGCGUGAGGGAUGGAGGCCUUCGGGUUGUGAACCUCUUUCGCCAGUGAAGCAGGCCUGCCUCGUUUGUGGGUGGGUUGACGGUAGCUGGAUAAGAAGCGCCGGCUAACUACGUG
This 494-nucleotide ribosomal RNA is filed under the name uncultured bacterium. RNAcentral's name for it is "partial 16S ribosomal RNA". It matches the Rfam family "Bacterial small subunit ribosomal RNA", at positions 39 to 507 of the family's 1533-position model. The record is from RNAcentral.